CAGGAGCAUGAGAAAUUUUCUUUUGGUUGCUUAGUUCUCCCUAUCAAGGAAAUACAAACAAAAGUGAAUGAAGAUGAGGCGAACAAAUUUUCAGUCACAAUAGUCUUUAUCAAUUAAGGCUAUGACACUUAUCAUGAAAAUGAUACAACCAAAAGGAUGAGUAGAAGAAUCGUCCCUGACAAUCAUAACAACAGAAAUAUUGCUGGCAGUAAAAUAAAGUUGCUUAUAUGGCCCAUGAUACCAAGCUUGACACAAAUCACAAUAAAAAUGUGUUGUAUUAGAUAACUUAAUUUACCCUUUUUGUAAAGAACCUAGGUUCUUUUUUAAUCUUUUGUACAAGUUCGUGUUGCUCUUUUAGUUGUGUUGUGUUAUGUUAAAAUGUUGCACGGUACCAGAAGAUAGAAUUUUGUCAAUCCAAGU
This is a long non-coding RNA of Solanum pennellii, 420 nucleotides long. RefSeq lists it as uncharacterized. The transcript has 3 exons. The record is from RefSeq and is a predicted model, not a curated record. NCBI's taxonomy places the organism in Eukaryota, Viridiplantae, Streptophyta, Magnoliopsida, Solanales, Solanaceae.